RNAcentral lists this transfer RNA (67 nucleotides) under Azospirillum baldaniorum. RNAcentral's name for it is "tRNA-Und (NNN) (tRNA-Und-NNN-2-1)". The record is from RNAcentral. Lineage: Bacteria; Pseudomonadati; Pseudomonadota; Alphaproteobacteria; Rhodospirillales; Azospirillaceae.
AUUUCACAAUAUUUGCAGACAACUUUUAAUCAUGUGGUCGUGGGUUCGAGUCCCACCCGGAUCACCA